RNAcentral lists this ribosomal RNA (122 nucleotides) under uncultured bacterium. RNAcentral's name for it is "partial 16S ribosomal RNA". It matches the Rfam family "Bacterial small subunit ribosomal RNA", at positions 355 to 493 of the family's 1533-position model. The record is from RNAcentral.
UGGGGAAUAUUGCACAAUGGGCGCAAGCCUGAUGCAGCAACGCCGCGUGAGUGAUGAAGGCCUUCGGGUUGUAAAACUCUGUCCUAUGGGAAGAAACAAAUGACGGUACCUAGGGGAAGCCG